UUGGAGGGCAAGUCUGGUGCCAGCAGCCGCGGUAAUUCCAGCUCCAAUAGCGUAUAUUAAAGUUGUUGCAGUUAAAAAGCUCGUAGUUGAAUUUCGGGAUCAGUUGGUCGGUCGUGCCUCGGUACGUACUGGUCAAAUUGAUUCCUACCUUCUGACGAACCACGAUGUCAUUAAUUUGGUGUCGCGGGAAAUCAGGACUGUCACUUUGAAAAAAUUAGAGUGUUUAAAGCAGGCUCGCGCUUGAAUACGUUAGCAUGGAAUAAUGAAAUAGGACGUUUGAUUCUAUUUUGUUGGUUUCUAGGAUCGACGUAAUGAUUAAUAGGGAUAGUUGGGGGCAUUAGUAUUCAAUUGUCAGAGGUGAAAUUCUUGGAUUUAUUGAAGACUAACUACUGCGAAAGCAUUUGCCAAGGAUGUUUUCAUUAAUCAAGAACGAAAGUUAGGGGAUCGAAGACGAUCAGAUACCGUCGUAGUCUUAACCAUAAACUAUGCCGACUAGGGAUCGGAUGAUGUUAAUUUUUUAAUGACUCAUUCGGCGCCUUACGGGAAAC
This 548-nucleotide ribosomal RNA is filed under the name uncultured Glomeromycotina. Its description in RNAcentral is "SSU rRNA". It matches the Rfam family "Eukaryotic small subunit ribosomal RNA", at positions 548 to 1098 of the family's 1831-position model. The record is from RNAcentral. Lineage: Eukaryota; Fungi; Glomeromycota.